GAUGAACGCUGGCGGCAGGCCUAACACAUGCAAGUCGAACGGUAACAGGAAACAGCUUGCUGUUUCGCUGACGAGUGGCGGACGGGUGAGUAAUGUCUGGGAAACUGCCUGAUGGAGGGGGAUAACUACUGGAAACGGUAGCUAAUACCGCAUAACGUCGCAAGACCAAAGAGGGGGACCUUCGGGCCUCUUGCCAUCGGAUGUGCCCAGAUGGGAUUAGCUAGUAGGUGGGGUAACGGCUCACCUAGGCGACGAUCCCUAGCUGGUCUGAGAGGAUGACCAGCCACACUGGAACUGAGACACGGUCCAGACUCCUACGGGAGGCAGCAGUGGGGAAUAUUGCACAAUGGGCGCUAGCCUGAUGCAGCCAUGCCGCGUGUAUGAAGAAGGCCUUCGGGUUGUAAAGUACUUUCAGCGGGGAGGAAGGGAGUAAAGUUAAUACCUUUGCUCAUUGACGUUACCCGCAGAAGAAGCACCGGCUAACUCCGUGCCAGCCGCCGCUGUAA
Molecule: ribosomal RNA, 506 nt
Filed under: uncultured bacterium
Lineage: Bacteria
Description: partial 16S ribosomal RNA
Rfam family: Bacterial small subunit ribosomal RNA
Source: RNAcentral